GGGACAACAGUUGGAAACGACUGCUAAUACCGCAUAAGCCCACGACCCGGCAUCGGGUUGAGGGAAAAGGAGCAAUCCGCUUUGAGAUGGCCUCGCGUCCGAUUAGCUAGUUGGUGAGGUAACGGCCCACCAAGGCAACGAUCGGUAGCCGGACUGAGAGGUUGAACGGCCACAUUGGGACUGAGACACGGCCCAGACUCCUACGGGAGGCAGCAGUGGGGAAUAUUGCACAAUGGGGGAAACCCUGAUGCAGCGACGCCGCGUGGAGGAAGAAGGUCUUCGGAUUGUAAACUCCUGUUGUUGAGGAAGAUAAUGACGGUACUCAACAAGGAAGUGACGGCUAACUACGUGCCAGCAGCCGCGGUAAAACGUAGGUCACAAGCGUUGUCCGGAAUUACUGGGUGUAAAGGGAGCGCAGGCGGGAAGACAAGUUGGAAGUGAAAUCCAUGGGCUCAACCCAUGAACUGCUUUCAAAACUGUUUUUCUUGAGUAGUGCAGAGGUAGGCGGAAUUCCCGGUGUAGCGGUGGAAUGCGUAGAUAUCGGGAGGAACACCAGUGGCGAAGGCGGCCUACUGGGCACCAACUGACGCUGAGGCUCGAAAGUGAGGGUAGCAAACAGGAUUAGAUACCCUGGUAGUCCACACCGUAAACGAUGAUUACUAGGUGUUGGAGGAUUGACCCCUUCAGUGCCGCAG
RNAcentral lists this ribosomal RNA (695 nucleotides) under uncultured bacterium. Its description in RNAcentral is "bacterial SSU rRNA". It matches the Rfam family "Bacterial small subunit ribosomal RNA", at positions 140 to 851 of the family's 1533-position model. The record is from RNAcentral.